UGAGGUAUGGUGUAAUGGCAGCACAAGAGAUUCUGGUCCUCUUAGUGGCGGUUCGAGCCCGUCUACCUCAA
Molecule: transfer RNA, 71 nt
Filed under: Bacteroidales bacterium
Lineage: Bacteria; Pseudomonadati; Bacteroidota; Bacteroidia; Bacteroidales
Also listed under: 1 other name
Description: tRNA-Gln
Rfam family: tRNA
About the family: Transfer RNA (tRNA) molecules are approximately 80 nucleotides in length. Their secondary structure includes four short double-helical elements and three loops (D, anti-codon, and T loops).
Source: RNAcentral